CCUACGGGAGGCUGCAGUCGAGAAUCAUUCACAAUGGGGGAAACCCUGAUGGUGCGACGCCGCGUGGGGGAAUGAAGGUCUUCGGAUUGUAAACCCCUGUCAUGUGGGAGCAAAUUAAAAAGAUAGUACCACAAGAGGAAGAGACGGCUAACUCUGUGCCAGCAGCCGCGGUAAUACAGAGGUCUCAAGCGUUGUUCGGAAUCACUGGGCGUAAAGCGUGCGUAGGCUGUUUCGUAAGUCGUGUGUGAAAGGCGGGGGCUCAACCCGCGGACGGCACAUGAUACUGCGAGACUAGAGUAAUGGAGGGGGAACCGGAAUGCUCGGUGUAGCAGGGAAAUGCGUAGAUAUCGAGAGGAACACUCGGGGCGAAGGCGGGUUCCUGGACAUUAACUGACGCUGAGGCACGAAGGCCAGGGGAGCGAAAGGGAUUAGAUACCCCUGUAGUC
This 446-nucleotide ribosomal RNA is filed under the name uncultured bacterium. RNAcentral describes it as "partial 16S ribosomal RNA". It matches the Rfam family "Bacterial small subunit ribosomal RNA", at positions 338 to 795 of the family's 1533-position model. The record is from RNAcentral.